This 74-nucleotide transfer RNA is filed under the name uncultured archaeon. RNAcentral describes it as "tRNA-Asn(gtt)". It matches the Rfam family "tRNA". Rfam says of the family: Transfer RNA (tRNA) molecules are approximately 80 nucleotides in length. Their secondary structure includes four short double-helical elements and three loops (D, anti-codon, and T loops). The record is from RNAcentral.
GUCCUGGUAGCUUAGCAGGUAGAGCGCAUGACUGUUAAUCAUGAGGUCGGAGGUUCGAGUCCUUCCUGGGACGC